GAACAGCAGUGGUGACCUAACUAAGCUCUGCCUAUGCUCCAAGCUGGGCUUGAAGCUAAAGAUACUGAAGAGGAUUACUGUAGAACUACAGCAUGGAACAGAACAAGGAAAGCCAUGAGUGGAAGAAGCUUAAGAGUCAUCGAGACUGUUGAAUUUAAAUGAUUGCAAAAUUGGUCACACCCAAAGGUGUUAUCUGUGCACUGGACAUCCUGCGGCGUAGAUUUCCAUCAUCUAGAAUGUCUCAGGACGGAGUGUUUCAGGACAGAGCACAUUAUUUGCAUCGUUAUUUUUCUUUCACAGUUGUCCUUAACAUCAUAGCGGGGAGUUGAUGUGUGUUCACAAUA
Molecule: long non-coding RNA, 344 nt
Organism: Hyla sarda
Lineage: Eukaryota; Metazoa; Chordata; Amphibia; Anura; Hylidae
Exons: 3
Source: RefSeq, a predicted model, not a curated record